UUGAAGUUGAAGCAAAAACAAUCAGCUUCUUCUUUGAUUAAGGUAGAAGAUUAAACCAGUUGACCCCAUCGCCGGACCUCCCACCAGCGUCACCCAUGACUUCACCUUCUUCAACCAUCAACACACCCAUAUGCGCCUUCACCCCAACCCGCCAGAAACCAGCUCCACCCCUUAAAAUCCCGACGCUCAAAAGGCAUCGGAUAUCCCUUUCCUCUUCUUCACUUCUCAACUGCUUUUAGGACCAACUUCAUACCAAAGAUUUAUAGCUGUGUUUCUACCAUUUCACACUUAAAAACAAGAAGAAAAAAAAUCAAAGAGCAUCAUUUGAUCAGAUAAAAAAGAGAGUGAUAGGUUAUGUUCAUAUCGUUCAACAUUUUAGCUUCUUUUUCUGAGUUUUAGAUUCCGAAAGCAUGGAUUCUAAUGGAUAUUGAUUGAGUUUGUUUUGUUUUGAACUUUUCGGUGCCGAUCCGAGUUUGUGUCGCGGUUCGUUAUGUUUCGUUCAAAGCAGUAAACAAUCAAUUUUCAGCUAAUUAAGGUCCAUUUCUCUUUCUCUGCCUAAUUUGACAUCUUUUCAG
This 575-nucleotide long non-coding RNA is filed under the name Nicotiana benthamiana. Its description in RNAcentral is "long non-coding RNA (NBEN_LNC010473)". The record is from RNAcentral. Lineage: Eukaryota; Viridiplantae; Streptophyta; Magnoliopsida; Solanales; Solanaceae.